AUACGACAUUAUCAUCCGAAGUUUGCUAAACCAAAAUGAGCUUCACAUGGCAACGUCAUAUGUGGAAGAAAUGCGCCAAAAGGGAUUAUCAGCAGAUUUUGCACAUUCUUCGCUGCCAACUGAUCAAGCGGAAGAACAAAAUGGAGAUGAUUUUUUUCUUAAAUUGAUGAAGAACCUUGCUCCCAAGAAAAUUGUAUCGUAGUUCUUUCUUCUUCAUAUACGAGGGCGAGGAUUCAUAUAGCCAGAGGCCUUUGUCUCGAAGUUGCAAGCAGCAAUGGUGCCGACGUUCAGUGGAGUUCGAUUCUCUAUGUACUUGGUGCUCAACAUUUCAUUCAUGCUGCUCUCUGCAUUUCUAGGAUUUGAACAUUUUGUUGAUGGAGUAACAAUCUCGUGUUUAAAUUA
Molecule: long non-coding RNA, 402 nt
Organism: Salvia miltiorrhiza (redroot sage)
Lineage: Eukaryota; Viridiplantae; Streptophyta; Magnoliopsida; Lamiales; Lamiaceae
Exons: 2
Source: RefSeq, a predicted model, not a curated record